GAGCCAGCAUGGUGUAGUGGUUUGAACAUUAGACUAAGACUCUGGAGUCCAAGGUUCGUAUCCCUGCUGGGCCA
Phrynosoma platyrhinos (Desert horned lizard) is the source of this 74-nucleotide non-coding RNA. The record is from the annotation of a GenBank genome assembly. NCBI's taxonomy places the organism in Eukaryota, Metazoa, Chordata, Lepidosauria, Squamata, Phrynosomatidae.